CAGCCGCCGCGGGAAUACGUAGGGUACAAGCGUUAAUCGGAAUUACUGGGCGUAAAGCGUGCGCAGGCGGUUUGUUAAGACAGAUGUGAAAUCCCCGGGCUCAACCUGGGAACUGCGUUUGUGACUGGCAGGCUGGAGUAUGGCAGAGGGGGGUGGAAUUCCGCGUGCAGCAGUGAAAUGCGUAGAUAUGCGGAGGAACACCGAUGGCGAAGGCAGCCCCCUGGGCCAAUACUGACGCUCAUGCACGAAAGCGUGGGGAGCAAACAGGAUUAGAUACCCCCGUAGUCCUGUCUCUUAUACA
RNAcentral lists this ribosomal RNA (301 nucleotides) under uncultured bacterium. RNAcentral's name for it is "partial 16S ribosomal RNA". It matches the Rfam family "Bacterial small subunit ribosomal RNA", at positions 509 to 809 of the family's 1533-position model. The record is from RNAcentral.